RNAcentral lists this ribosomal RNA (293 nucleotides) under Alexandrium monilatum. RNAcentral's name for it is "partial Bacterial large subunit ribosomal RNA". It matches the Rfam family "Bacterial large subunit ribosomal RNA", at positions 862 to 1154 of the family's 2925-position model. Lineage: Eukaryota; Dinophyceae; Gonyaulacales; Pyrocystaceae. The record is from RNAcentral.
AAAGCUAUUUAGGUAGCGCCUCGUAUAUCACCACAGGGGGUAGAGCACUGUUUCGGCUAGGGGGUCAUCCCGACUUACCAACCCGAUGCAAACUCCGAAUACCUGUGAGUACUAUCCGGGAGACACACGGCGGGUGCUAACGUCCGUCGUGAAGAGGGAAACAACCCAGACCGCCAGCUAAGGUCCCCAAAUUCCAGUUAAGUGGGAAACGAUGUGGGAAGGCUCAGACAGCUAGGAGGUUGGCUUAGAAGCAGCCAUCCUUUAAAGAAAGCGUAAUAGCUCACUAGUCGAGU